CACGUAGUUAGCCGGGGCUUCUUAGUCAGGUACCGUCAUUCUCUUCCCUGCUGAUAGAGCUUUACAUACCGAAAUACUUCUUCACUCACGCGGCGUUGCUGCAUCAGGGUUUCCCCCAUUGUGCAAUAUUCCCACUGCUGCCUCCCGUAGGAGUUUGGGCCGUGUCUCAGUCCCAAUGUGGCCGGCCACCCUCUCAGGUCGGCUACUGAUCGUCGCCUUGGUGGGCCGUUACCUCACCAACCAGCUAAUCAGACGCGGGUCCAUCUCAUACCACCGGAGUUUUUCACACCGGACCAUGCGGUCCUGUGCGCUUAUGCGGUAUUAGCAGUCAUUUCUAACUGUUACUCCCCCUGUACUGAGGCACGGUUACCCACGGUCGUUACUCCACCCGUCCGCCGCUCAGUCAUACACGUCUCCACUACCGUAAAACUUCCACUACUCUACGUCUUCGCUCGACUUGCAUCGUGUAACGCACGCCGCAGCGUUCACUC
Molecule: ribosomal RNA, 491 nt
Filed under: uncultured Lachnospiraceae bacterium
Lineage: Bacteria; Bacillati; Bacillota; Clostridia; Lachnospirales; Lachnospiraceae
Description: partial 16S ribosomal RNA
Source: RNAcentral